This 35-nucleotide non-coding RNA is filed under the name unclassified sequences. The record is from Rfam.
AUGGAAGUAGCCGAAAAUCCAACAAAGAGUAGGCA